UGAAACUGCCUCAAAAUAAAAAGUGAGUGGUUUUUAUUUUUUUUGUUUGGCAUUUAUUUUCUAUAACUGCUGCAGCACCUUGUCUCGAGUCAUCCAAUAACAAGUUAUCUGCAAGUUUUUUGCAGCAAUCAUUUGCAUAUCUCUUGACAUAGAUAUACUGAAAAAUAGUUAUUUAAAAUUUUAGCCUUUUCCUGGUCUUCAUUAACAAACAGACCCAUCUCUGUUUCCAAUUUCCACUUUCAUUUUUUGUUUUGGGGUUGGUUUUGGAUUCUUUGGCUUUUCAAUUUCUCAUUUUCUAGUUUAGUCACUUUAGUUGCCUUUUUGCAAGCAUUAUUGGCUUGCUUAUAUAGGAAGCCUCUGAUUUGUCUGCUUUAAAUGCCCCUUUUCUUAUUUUUAAUCUCUUGUUUUACUUCUCUAGUGAUCCACAUUGGUUUUAAUUUGUUUCUUUUAUAUUUAUUACCCAAUGGUACAUUCUGAGAAAUGUACCUUUCUAAUAUUUGUUUGAAGAGUUUCCAUUUAUCCUCAGUUGAUAUGUUGUAGAGCUGCCCUAUUUAAAGUGGCUUUUUAAAAAUUAAAUGUUUUAGUAUACGCCGCAUGCUUUUACUCUUUUGAGUUUAUUUAAAAAAUUACCAUAUUGUGAUCAUCAUUUCACAAAUGCUCCCUGUGGCGAAACCGACCUCGCCACUAGGCAUUGGAGAAGACUGUUUGCCAGCCUCCUGCCAUGUGACUAUGGCCCCUGGGAUGUAUUGCCCUUUAAAGACAUGAUUUGGGCAUAAUGGAUUUGUGUUGUGCUGCUGCUAGCCCUUUAAGAACCAUCUGGGGACAUACUGUGGAGUUACUGGGUGUCCACCAUUUCAUGUAUCAGAGGCACAUGGUGAGAACAAUGGAUGGCGGCCAUUUUAACUCACAGACACUGUUUGGACUUUUCUACACGGUGCCAUCUCGCCGGUAUUUGGUGCACAAAGACAUCAUGCAGUAGUUUUAAACUAUACAACAGGGGACACAUUAUACAGUAAUUAUUUUUCAUAUAGCCUGUAUAUGUUCUGCAGAAUCUGCAUUAAACUGUAUUUUCCAAAGUACUGAACGAAUCUGGGUGAAUUUUGGAUAUGUGGUUCACCCAGAUCCCCCGGUUCCGAGGAUAUACUGGGGUUAUUGCAUGUUUUGGGCUCCCUGUGAUAUAUUUUAUACUGUAUUUCUCUGCCUGUGAUAAUUAAUAUAUUAACCAUUCAGUGUUCAGUAAUCAUAUCACAGGCAGAGGGGGAGGAUUUUGUGUGGGAGUGUCUGUGUGUAUUGUACGGAUUGAUUAGUUGUAUUUCAAAACCCUGUGGGCAGUACUAUGUUUGUGGAUUGUGAAUAAAAGAGGCUGUAUGUGACAGUACAGUCAGUUCUGCUUGACCUCAAAACGAAGUGUUGUCUCGUUAUUGGGGGAAUUGGAUUGUAUGCUGAUUGCCAGGAGCUGUUUACAGCAUUCAUAUGCUUCUCUGGUUCGGUGAUUGUGGUGUCUGCUGCAGUGCUUGGAGUCCUCAGGAAGCGCUAGGAGCAUCCUUCAACGAAGGUACCCAGUCGGGGUGCCCGUCGAUCCGUUACACUCCCCUACUUGAAUGUCGGUCAAAAAAACUAUUUCUUCCUUAAUAACAUGUACCCAUUUAAGGUAACUGCCCAGUCAUGUCUCAUCCCACCAUGUUUCUGUUAUGCCUAUUAUAUUGUUUAGUGUAUGCUAUUGCCUCUAGUUCCCCCCAUUUUGUUAUAUAGGCUCCUUGCAUUAGUAAGCAUACAUUUGAUAUUAUCAUGAGUCAUUUGUACUUUUUGUGAAGUUUUAUCAAUAUUACAUACCUCCUCUGUUCUAAGCUUGCCCCUCCCCCAUCUCCUCUCCCCUUAUAUUGAGCUAAAGCCCAUCUCCUUUCUAUCCUAUCCCCCUUGUCUAGAUUUCUAUCUCUCCCUUGGCAAAAGUAACCUCGCCACUUGUACUUGAAGGGGCCUGCUUGCCAGCCUCCUGCCCACAGACUAUGGACCCUGCAGGGAAACCUGUAAAAGGCUAACUAACUUGACCGACUGUUAGCACUGAUUUUCCUGGAACUGUUUUGGGCAUAGGACCAUGUGCACGGUCAGUCAAAACUAUGACUUCCAGGAAAUUAAUGAACCCCUGAACCGAUCUGGGUGAUUUUUUAUUUUUUUUUGGAUAUGUUGUUCAUCCAGGUCAGGGGGUGUUAUGGGGUUUUAUGUGUGUUGUUUUUUUUUUUUUGUUUUUUUUUAAGGUACUUUUUUGGGCUUCAUAAAAAUGUAUGUUUUUCUGUGCUUUGAGAUAAUUGGGUUAGAUUAGUACAGUUCCUGAUUCAAUUACCUCCCAAGCACAGAGGAGGUAUUCUAUUGUUUGUGUAUGGGAGUGUCUCACUGUAGGACUCUGUUUUUAUUGGUUUAUUCACAUUGUGUCCCUGUGCCCAACAAGGUCCACCUGGGUGUCACACUUGUUGGGAAACUUGCAUAAAAGGCCAGUGUGCCUCCAUUAAAAUUCUGUUCCGGUUUACCCUCAACAUCGAGUCUCAUCUCAUGUGUGGGGGAAACGGCUGUAUCUAUCCUGCGGUUUGCUAUAUCACUCUACUCCCCAGGAAUUAUAAUCACUAGUUCUUAUAAGAGCUGUUCCUGCUACGCUCUCUGGGAGUAGGCGAGGUCUGCCCACUGGAACCUGGAUCCCAGUCUUGGGUCCAGGGUGGGUGAAGGACGGCGAGACCCCAGCGCAGUUGCAUCACCGGAAGUACUUAUGGUGUCUGGUGGAGUGCUGGAAUUCCUCGGUGAGCACUAGGAGCAUCGAUUGGCGGAGGCACUCGGUCGGAGUGCCAGGCGGUUCAUCACUUUUUUUGGGGCAGCGGUGGGAUGGUCCUUUUUAUAACCAGAGCAAGUGCUGACCGGAUGGAGAGCCAGUAUGCAAAGCUGAAACGACCAACUUUAAAAGACUUGCUGGAGAGCCGGGGAAGCAUUGCAAGUAACCGACCAUGGAGAGAGUUAAUCUGCUGGAGUUAGACAAACUGGACCAUUCAACAGAAAUGGCUGAACUAAAUGCCCCGAACGUAGAGGAAGACGAAACUCUAAACAUCGUUUAGACACGGUUGGCGAUAUAUGGGCCGAACCCGUCAGAUGAAUGGAUCGACCAAAUGUUUUGCACAAUGGAGGCUGAAGCUCAGGAAAGGAGGGAAUACCAACUGCAACUGGUAAGAGCACAACAACCUGCCAUACCAGUGACCAAUAUCCCUACCCCGGCAGCGAACCAGAGAAAGGUCCCAUUUGCAGCUUUCAAAGCCUUUGUAGAGAGUGAUGGAGAAAUUGACAGUUAUCUAGCAGAUUUCGAGAGACCGUGUGCAUUACAUCAGGUACCCACAGAGCAAUGGGUCACAAUCUUAUCAGGCAAGUUGUCUGGGAAAACCUCUGAAGCUUUAAGAGCCAUUCCUAACGAGGAUGUCCACCUGUACCAAUUGGUCAAAGAAGCCCUCCUUGCCCAUUAUACGGUUACCCCCAGAGUCAUAUCGCCGCUGCUUUUGGGAAUUCAAAACGAAAGUGGGGGAACUCACACAUGGAAUGGGCAUGCCGCUUACAUCGCAUUGCUUCCCACAGGAUUAAGGUAUGCCAAGCCAGCACCGGGGAGGAAGUACCCCAAUUGUUUUUGAUGGAACACUUCUUGCUUGAUCUACAACCUGGACUACAAGAGUGGGUACGAGACCGGCGACCCCUCACAUUGAAUGACAUGGCUCGAUUAGCAGAUGAAUAUACGGAUACCAGAAGGGUGAGUCAAACUACCCCAGGGCCCCUGCUCCCGUUCCUCGCCCCAAAUUCUGUGCUCCUGUACCACCUGGCCGAGUGACCACUGAGAUAUCCCCGGGACCAGUGUCAUCGGUGCCGCGGAUGGGGACACAUAAGUACUGGUUGUCCGUCAGGGCCUCUGCUCAAACUUGGAGACGUCCCACACCCGUAGCCAAUACUACACCCCCGCGUACCCCAACCAUUCAUUGUGUGGAAACUGACAUUGGUACCGAGGAAUACCUAGGGAUUUGUAUGAGGUGGACCCCAUCCAAGCUGCGUCCCCAGACAACCGACAACAGCAUCGACAAGAAGUCCAAGUGAAUGGUCAAAUAGCCCAAGGGCUAUGGGACACGUGCGCUACCAUCACCCCGGUCCUGCGACACUUGGUCAAGCAAGAGGAUUGUUCUAACCAUAUCAUCGCUGAACGGGCAGCUGUGUUCCGCCUCCCUGUUGCCCGUGUCCACCUUGACUGGGGAGCCGGAUCCAGCAUGGCCACCGUAGGGAUCAUGGACAAAAUCAGAAAGAUAAGUCCUGCGCUCACUCCCAUAACAUAUGCUCACUACAGACAAGCAAUGACUACAGUACACAUCAGCCCCAAUAUAUAGUAAAAACCAAAGAAAAACAAGUUACCUGCGCUCUCUCCUUAAUCCCUAUGUAUUUUUAAACAAAUGGAGGUUUUUUUAGUUACCUCCAAUGGCCAUGAGAGGAUAAGCCCACCUGCCAACGUCAAGGCAGACCCCAGCUGGGUCCUAACUCUAACCAUUCACCUUGCUUCCUUGAGCUUCUGGCAAAGAUCUCUAAUGAGACAAAAAGGGAUAUAGAUAUAUAUAUAUAUAUAUAUAUAUAUACACACCCUUAAUAGGGAACACAUGGGAUGGGCGGCUGCAUUGUAGCAAGGCUGAGUGAUACAAAAAAUGGAUACAAAUGCAGAAAGAUAAGUCCUGCGCUCACUCCCAUCACUGGGCGGCAGCAAUGACCCAGACCCCCAGCUGCAGCCGGAGCUACAGAGAGAGGAGGCAGGUGGUCCUUAUUCCCAAGUCCUGGGAGGAACCCUUAACUGGCACAUGGAGAUGGGACUGAGGUCUCUCUUCCAGCCCUACAGGGAUGCUGGGCAGCCGGAGUUAAAGGGAGAGGAGACAACCAGUCUCUCUCCCCAGCGGCAGUGCAUCCUACCGGGAAAGGAGACAACAGGUCUCUCUUUCUAGCGGCAUUGCAUUCUACAGGGAGAGGAGACAACCGGUCUCUAUCCCCAGUGGCAGUGCAUCCUAGAGGGAGAGGAGACAACCGGUCUCUCUCUCUAGCGGCAUUGCAUUCUACAGGGAGAGGAGACAACCGGUCUCUAUCCCCAGCGGCAGUGCAUCCUAGAGGGAGAGGAGACAACCGGUCUCUCUCCCAAGUGGCAGUGCAUCCUACAGGGAGAGGAGACAACCGGUCUCUCUCCCAAGCGGCAGUGCAUCCUACAGGGAGAGGAGACAACCAGUCUCUCUCCCAAGCGGCAGUGCAUCCUACAGGGAGAGGAGACAACCGGUCUCUCUCCCCAGCGGCAGUGCAUCUUUCAGGGAGAGGCGACAGCUGGUAUUUCUCCCCAACUACAGGGGGACAACACCCCUGACCCCAAUGGUACAGAUGGGACCGUGGUCUCUGUGCCGGAUCUACAGGGAUGCUGGACAGCCGGUCCAGAUUCUCAACUAAGCACUUUCUCCCCUCUCCAGCCAAUUCCCAGCAGGUCCCUGGGGUUAGUGGACGGGACUACCAUACCCACUGACCCCCUUCCAGCAGAAGAGCUGGCAUCAGAGCAAAGUGCUGCUGGCCCCUGCCCUACCUGCCAACUUGUUACCAGGCAGGGCUCUGUACACAUCACCCCAGCAGAAGUGCUGGCACCAGGGCAGAGCGCAGUUGGCCUCUGCCCUCCCAUUUUCCCUUGUCCAUGGCCUGACUACCUGGUAGUCAGGCCACCCCAGCAGAAGCGCUGGCAACCGGGCAAAGCCUCUGCCCUACCUGCUCCUUUGUUACAGGGCAGAACUAUGUACCUGUCACCCCAGCAGAAGCGCUGGCAUUGGGACAGAGUGCAGUUAGCCUCUGCCUGUGCCCUCCCCUGGUCCUUGAUCCAGGAGCUGCCCACAGAGUAACUAGAAACUGGGAGUACCAGAGGCCCCUUGGGGUCAUACAAAACCAAGACAAACUACAGGAGUCACCAGGUCCAGUAAUUGUUUAUGUGGGUGGGUUACUCAACUAACUCAGGAACCGACCGACAGGAGGUCAGGUACCUGGUUAGUCUCCCCUUUGGAGGGAAGAAAUGUGGGGCCUGCCUCCUGCCCACAGACUAUGGGCCCUGCAGGGAAACCUGUAAAAGACUACUGAACUUGACCGACUGUUAGCACUGAUUUCCCUGGAACUGUUUUGGGCAUAGGACCAUGUGCACGGUCAGUCAAAACUAUGACUUCCAGGAAAUUCCUGAACUGAUCUGGGUGAUUUUUGGAUAUGUUGUUCAUUCAGAUCAGGGCUAUCAGGGGGUGUGUUUUUUUUUUUUUUUUUUUUAAAGGUACUUUUUUGGGUUUCAUAAAAUUGUAUGUUUUUCUGUGCUUGGAGAUAAUUGGGUUAGAUUAGUACAGUUCCUGAUUCAAUUACCUCCCAAGCACAGAGGAGAGAUUCUAUUGUUUGUGUAUGGGAGUAUCUCACUGUAUGACUGUUUUUAUGACCGGGUAAGUACAUAAGAUCACAGGGACGUUCUAUGCCGCCCUGCGGCGUUUAGAGCCGCUUCCUUAAGGACGGCAUAGAACGCCCUGCGGUCUUAAGGGGUUAAAUAAAAUCAGCAGAGAUUAAAAAUAUCUAUAAAAAAGAUGGAAGAAAAAAACGUUUUAAAAAAUUAAGAAUGAAAAAACAAACAAAAACGUAAACCAGCUUUUUCCUGUAUAUACACAUAAGUAGACUGUGCAGUCACUGCUUUAAGUAGACUGUGCAGUCACUGCUUUAAGUAGACUGUGCAGUCACUGCUUUAUUUUUUUUUUCCGUUUGAUUCCACCAGAUAUUUUUGGUGACUGAUAUUGGAGUGUAACAUUAUAUGCCUUAAUUUUUAUCUUUCUUAUUUGUUACCAACACGUUUGGCUAUGUUGUAAAUAGUGUGUAUAUACGUUGUAUGUAUGUUUGCUUGAUAUUGGGAUGCAUAUUGAGCCUUUCUUUUUAUUUUAUUGAUAUGUCCAUCAUUUAGUGAAUAAGCCUCACAAUCGGGUUACACGUAUUGCAAUUUUGCUUCUUUUAUACCCUUUCUUGCCAGCCACGCUGUGGAGUACUUGGACGCGUGUGAUGGAGCAUUGUCCUGCAUGAAAAUCAUGUUUUUCUUGAAGGAUGCAGACUUCUUCCUGUACCACUGCUUGAAGAAGGUGUCUUCCAGGAACUGGCAGUAGGACUGGGAGUUGAGCUUGACUCCAUCCUCAACCCGAAAAGGCCCCACAAGCUCAUCUUUGAUGAUACCAGCCCAAACCAGUACUCCACCUCGCUGGCGUCUGAGUCGGACUGGAGCUCUCUGCCCUUUACCAAUCCAGCCACGGGCCCAUCCAUCUGGCCCAUCAAGACUCACUCUCAUUUCAUCAGUCCAUAAAACCUUAGAAAAAUCAGUCUUGAGAUAUUUCUUGGCCCAGUCUUGACGUUUCAGCUUGUGUGUCUUGUUCAGUGGUGGUCGUCUUUCAGCCUUUCUUACCUUGGCCAUGUCUCUGAGUAUUGCACACCUUGUGCUUUUGGGCACUCCAGUGAUGUUGCAGCUCUGAAAUAUGGCCAAACUGGUGGCAAGUGGCAUCGUGGCAGCUGCACGCUUGACUUUUCUCAGUUCAUGGGCAGUUAUUUUGCGCCUUGGUUUUUCCACACGCUUCUUGCGACCCUGUUGACUAUUUUGAAUGAAACGCUUGAUUGUUCGAUGAUCACGCUUCAGAAGCUUUGCAAUUUUAAGAGUGCUGCAUCCCUCUGCAAGAUAUCUCACUAUUUUUGACUUUUCUGAGCCUGUCAAGUCCUUCUUUUGACCCAUUUUGCCAAAGGAAAGGAAGUUGCCUAAUAAUUAUGCACACCUGAUAUAGGGUGUUGAUGUCAUUAGACCACACCCCUUCUCAUUACAGAGAUGCACAUCACCUAAUAUGCUUAAUUGGUAGUAGGCUUUCGAGCCUAUACAGCUUGGAGUAAGACAACAUGCAUAAAGAGGAUGAUGUGGUCAAAAUACUCAUUUGCCUAAUAAUUCUGCACUCCCUGUACACAUUUUACAGACAAAGUCCCACCCACAGGGUUUUGUGGAACAAUCAAAACAUACAACACAGAUAAACACUCCCACAAUGACAUCACAAUCCCUCUUCUCUAUCCUGGAGAAAAUUGGUAAGUAAUCCAAUUAACUCCAAGGACAGAGGCAAAACUCCAUUAAGCACAUGGCCGCAAAAAGACCGUAAAAUACCAUAAAAUACACAAGGUUACAUUUAUUACAUAAAAUACAGACAUGCAACAUAUCCCCAGAUAGCUUAGGUCUGAGCGCACAUUAUUACUGAAUGGCGAUCAGACCACACACAUACAGUUCAAUUGCCAUAGCUAUCUGGGUUAAAUGAGUUCAUUCAGUAAAUCCGUGAAUGAACGGACCGCGUGUGAACUGCAGACUGCUGCCAUCCAGUGUUCAGUAUGUGUAGCCGCAGCCACCCGGUAUAGUCAAUUGAGCUGCGGUUAACCGCAGCUACUGGGCGGUCAAUUGGCGGCGCUCACUGGCUUUUGGACGGCCAAUUAACGGUGCCUGCCAGCUAACCGCGACUCCUGGGAGGCCAAUAGAUGGCUGUUUGUUCGCUAGAUAGAAUCUACUGAACGCCCGGGCAGAAAUACAUAAAUAGACCUUUUUGCAUAGGAAAAUAAAGUAUUUAAAUGCCGAUCCAUAGUCAAAAGGCAGCAGACAGGCAACCAGGCUCCUCCAAUGCACAGUGGCAAGAUUGGUCUCGUCACACCCCCGUUCUCCAUGAUUGCGAGAGUGAUCUGUCACGUACGUACCCACAAGAUAUCUCUACUUCUCAUAGCUCCACUUUGGCAGAGUCAGGCAUGGUUCCCAGGGUUAUUGAGAUGUCCCACGAUCCUCCUCUUUUUCUACCAACCUUCCCUCUACUUCUGACAGGGACCAUGAGGGGAACCUCACCCCCUCGUACUAGAUCAGAAGCUAGUGUCCUGGACGAUUUUAGGGGUUCCUGGUCAGUCCAUGGCCUAUCACAAUCGGCUAGGGAUCUCCUAUGGGAUUCAUGGGCUCCCGGCAGCAGGAGAUGUUAUAUUUCCGCGUGGUCUGCCUGGAGUAGUUGGUGCCUGGAGAGGGAUUCCGAUCCCUUUUACUGCUCCUGUCCCAUUGAUCCUCAACUAUCUCUCACACCUGUUUACGCUAAGUCUGUCAUACCGAUUCCUCAACGUGUUUAGAUAAGCCAUUUCGGCAGCACACAUUCCGGUACAGGGCAUUCCGGUGGGUCAGGAUCCACUGGUUUGUCGGUUACUACGGGGUGCUAAGGUGUCGAAACCUCCAGCACCGAAAUAUUCACGUCUCUGGCAUGUGGAUGUAGUGCUGCAUUUCCUGAGAGAGUGGCCUAUAACUUGUAUCUUUCGCUGAAACAACUUUCACCCAAACUUACCCUCUUGCUAUGUCUUGUCUUGUUUCGUCACGUAGCAGACAUCAGGGCAUUCAAUGUCGACUGUUUCUCCUUCACUCCAGAAGGGGUUAUUUUUAAGAUAUCACACUGUACUAAGUACUCUUCUUUGGUCUUUUACCCGUUUUUUAUAGCGGACCCCAGACAAUGUGUGGUUAAGACGUUAAUGUGAUAUACCGAAAUCUCAGCUACUCUCCGAACCUCUUCGGCGGGUCAGCUUUUGAUUUCUUACGUGGAGCCUCAUGGACCGGUGUUUACUACAACACUGGCCAGAUGGGUCCGCUGGCUUCUAUCAUUAGCUGGCGUUGGACCAUGCUUUGGGGCUCACGCGGUCAGGAGUGCGGCUGCUUCACAAGUUUUCUUGGGGCAGGAGCCAACUCUUGCCGACAUUAUGCGUUGUGCGGAUUGGACGCGCGAGAGUACUUUCAGGAUGUUUUAUUUCAGGCAGACUUCUUAUGCCUCUUUAACGUUGGUUAAUUCUUAGCGUUAAAAAUGCAAAUAUGGGGGGGCGGAGCUUGAAGCUUGAACCCAGCGGACGCAAAACUCAUGAGCUCCAGAAAUAGGGGCAUACAAACCCGAAAAAAAGCGAUUUAUAGCUGGCACAAAGCUACUCACCACUCUCUUCCUAAAGACACGGGUAAUCAACACAUGCCUUUCUUAUAUACCCCGACCGGCAAAAAAAUCCGCUGUCGAUUGUGGGCCUAUACACUUGACUGGACUGGGUGAGCCGACCCCAAAGACCUGAUGAAUACUUAAACAAUACUGACACGAUGGGCUGAUGAUCCCAAAGGCCACAAACAAGCAUCAAAGAUACCCGAGACAUAGGGGACAUGCUGCAGGCCCCCGUAGCCAAGCGGGCACAGACAAACCCAGAACCAGAAGCAGGCACCACGCGAGCCCAGUGGAGCCAGAGAAAGAACCCGCAACAUCCAGGGCUCCCACGGUGACAUCCCCAGAGGGGGACAGGCAGAAUUUUGCCACGAAGGAAGAUAUCCGCAACAUGAUGCUUGAAUUGAAGCAGACCUACUAUGCACAGAAGUGUAGGCGGUAACAGCCAGACUACAGGCCUCCGAGGAGGACAUCAUCGACACACGACAGGAGGUGCUGGCUCUCAAAGACACAGUGCUUCAGUUGCAAAUCUCCCAUACGGCACUCCUAACUAAACUGGAAGUUGCAGAGGACCACAACCGCAGAACUAACAAACAUCAAGAUCAGGGGGAUCCCGGACGACAUCAGCCAGGCGGAACUCCCCCACUACCUCCGGCGACUGACCACGGCCAUCUUGCCGCACACACAGGCCAAAAAACUACCCUUUGAUACCUGCUUCAGGAUCGCCAAACCUGCAUGGGCACCGUCCAUGGCCACCCGAGACGUAAUUAUGAGAUGUCAUUCAGUCUCUGACAGAAACCGUGUCAUGGCAGAGGUGCGAAACAAAACCCCACUCAACUCAAGUCAGCUACCAUCACGUUCUUCCACGACCUAACGAGGAGUACAUUACAGUGGCGCAGAUCCUUGGGCCCGAUUACAGACCAACUCCGCGCAGCAGGUGUAGACUAUAGAUGGGGCAUACCCAGGACUCUAACAGUGAGUAAAAAUGGGACCGUUCAUCGACUCACCUCCCUGAACGAAGGUACAGUGUUCCUACAGGCUCUUGGACUUAUACCACCUCUGCCUACCCUAAUGGGAACCCCUAAUUGACAUGUGUGGGAUCCCAUGAGAAAGCCCCGUUCGAGCCAAGUACAGCAGCUGGGCUGGUGGCCCCCACAUGAACUGUAGCCCGACAAAGUGGACUUACCAACGCUAUACAGCUGCAUAUUUAGUCCCGAAUAUAACCAUAGUUAUCCUUAAUGCCUAAUUGUUUUGCAUUUGAAAAUGUUAUUCUGGUUUGAUGCUUAUGCUCUGUGCCUCACCUCAUGGGAAAUGGCACACAGAGUUAAGUGUGCACUACACACUCCCUCCCCCCCCCAACUGGGGGGAGAGGCUACCUAGCCUUACACACUGCGAGCCACUCUUACUUGCACGGAUUCUCCCUCCCCUGCAGCCCCGUUAGGUUAGGGGCAACACAUCAUGAGCGAAUACACACAGACACCGGGCCCAAAUGUCUGAAUGCUAACCCACAUAAUGGCCCAUGUACACCACCACCAGUAUCCCACACCGGAUGCACUAGACAUGAGCACAUAACUCUACAGACACCCGGCUAGCACAACUGCUAUAUCCUCACAGCGAGCACACAAGAUACACGGAUGGUGCACCCCAUCUCAGUUGAUCCAUAAUUGACACACUCAGCGGAACAGCCGACGGACAAACUAGAACAGCUAACACCAAUAUAGAUAUUUAACAACUGAGAGACAGGGACACACCACUCGAGGGAUCGGUUCCGUACAGGCAUCCUCACGGACCACCCUGGUAUGGUGGCUAAUAUAACAUCCAAGGCUCUGUUCAUCAGAUCUAAGCUUAUAGCCACACAUGCCAGGAGACCUAAUUAACAAAUAGAAUUGCAAAUAACAGACGACAUACUUGUUUCUUAUACAUUCAAAAAUGGGGCUGUUGAAUACAGGAGUACCUAUAUUUGAAUAUACUACUGUACCAAUGUCAUGUACAUGCUGAUUGUGGCUCCUUGCUUCUUUUCUGUACCAUGAUAAUCGUUGCCUCAAUAAAAAAGAAUGGGAAAAAAAAAUGCAAAUAUGAAGCCUCCUGUCGUUAUAAGAUUGUAGAUUAUGCUAACGUAGUGUACCUAUACUCUUAAUUUUAGUAAUGACAGGAGGCUAGUAUUUCCCACCCUAUUUUACCCUCCCAUUGUAGCUGUGAUGAUGUAACGUUCUAUAUUUUUCUCUGGUUUAACUUUAUAAGAUAGUUGGGUAUUAUACUUAUAUGACAUUGUAAGAUUAGUGUCUUGUUAUCAUGACAUGCAUAAUAGUUGUUACACAGUUGGAUGUUCAUUAUAUGCGGGCAGCUUGCCACUUCAGAUACCUUUUCACUUUUUUCUUUAUUUUUCAGUGUGAUUGGUUAUCCCCGACGGAUGGACUCACCCUUGUGUUUAUCCAACUGAAGUUCAUACCGGAUUUGGGAGGACAUUAUUGGAUUUCAAUUUGGCCUUACGUUGUUGGUCAUUUUUUUUCUGUAUUAGUCUACCUGUUUUAUUUACUCGCUACAAAGAAAGAAGUGAUGUAACUGUCAGGGCCUUUUAUGUGUCAUCUGGCUUAUUUCUGAUUGGUUGCUUCUGUGUCUGUGCUCCUGGAGAUUUUCAGCAAAGAGAGUUAUGCAAAUACUCGCUGUGACGGACCGCUGGCAUUCCGACUGAGUACCUCUGCCAAUCGAUGCUCCUAGUGCUCGCUGAGGACUCCAAGCACUCCAACCAACACCAUCAGCACUGCAGACCCCACUUCCAGCGAUGCAGCUGCGCCGGGAUCUCUCCGUCUCCACCCACCCUGGCCAGGAUCCAGCUUCCAGUGGGUGAACCUUUCUUUCCCCAGAGAGCGUCGCAGGAACAGAACAGCUCUUACAAGAGCUCAGUGAUUAUAGCAAGAGAGUAUGACCAGCAUAGCAAUCCCUUGUAGCAGAUUCCCCCAAUAAGAGACAGGACUCAGAUUGAAGGUGAAGACGAACUGUUUUACUUGGCACCAAAGACCCACAGGGUCUUUCAGAACAACCAAUAAAAACAUUACAACACAAUAAAGUAUACUACUCCCAGCAGAAAUCCUCCUCUCUGUGAUACAAUUAUCUCAAGACAAUAGACUAACUUGAUUAGCACAGGCAGAAAAUAUACAGUUUUUACACAAUUCUUAUAACUUUAAAAGUAUGCAUGCAAUAUUAAUAAAGUUACAUAUUUGAAAUCAGCAUCCUUCAAAUAUAAAUAUACUCAAAAAUCAUAAACAUUCGUCCAGUAGAUCAAAAGUUAGAUGGACGUCCUUUUUGAAUGACUGCAAGCAUGGCUUUUCUGCCCAAAACCAGUUCCACAGGUCUGGCAGUGUCCCUGGGACAACGCCCUGCUGGAGAACAAUAGACAGGAAACGGGGGAGGGGCACAUCUUCCCAUGUAUUCAAAGGGGCAGAAAAAGUGUUUCAAAAUGCAAUAAGCCCAAAUAAGUUUCUUAAAGGGCAAUACACAGUCCAAUACAAGUCCUUAAGCCCCAAAUCCUGUAUUUAAAGGGCCAAACCUCCCAGGGACCAUAAUCACAUGGCAAGAGGCUGGCAAGUAGUCCUCUCCAGGCACAAGUGGCGAUGUUAAUGUCGCCACACUCGCCUCCUGUCAUUACUAAAAUUAAGAUUAUAGGUAUACUACGUUAGCAUAAUGUACCAUUUUUUUUCAUGUAGUUUGUUCAGUAAUGACUUGAGUUCAAUUCACUAGUAUCCAACCACUGUUUUGCAUAUAAAUGCCAACUAUUUUUCUAUGGCACUUUAAAAUUUGUUAAAAUAUUUUGUUUAAAC
Molecule: non-coding RNA, 13861 nt
Organism: Pelobates cultripes (western spadefoot toad)
Lineage: Eukaryota; Metazoa; Chordata; Amphibia; Anura; Pelobatidae
Source: the annotation of a GenBank genome assembly